CCCAGACAGAGAUCACCUGGGAGGGAUGCUCUUACGGGCAGAAGGGUGCUACAAGUCAUCUUCGCUAUCCCUGGAAGAACUGUUCACUGCCUGGCCCGUGUGAAAUAGUCUCCAGCAGAAAGGGGAAAACUUCGGCUGUUCUUCCUCCUGCUCCUCUGUCUGGAACAUCACCAUCUUGGCCUCCAUCCCUGGGAUGUUUCCCUGCUCAGUUCAAACAGAUCUCCUGGACCUCUGGCUGGCCUAAGAUGGUGAAAACCAGCAUGUCCCAUACACUCCAGUGCCCCAGCCUGAACAAACAUCAUGUGCAACACUACAAGUCUCUCCUAACUCAGGGCUUUCAAGAGGCACUAAGACAAACCCUUCCCUGGAGAGGAACGUGGACAAU
Strigops habroptila (Kakapo) is the source of this 385-nucleotide long non-coding RNA. RefSeq lists it as uncharacterized. NCBI's taxonomy places the organism in Eukaryota, Metazoa, Chordata, Aves, Psittaciformes, Psittacidae. The record is from RefSeq and is a predicted model, not a curated record. The transcript has 3 exons.